This 400-nucleotide unclassified non-coding RNA is filed under the name uncultured fungus. RNAcentral describes it as "sequence contains ITS1". The stretch from base 1 to 100 matches the Rfam family "5.8S ribosomal RNA", at positions 50 to 154 of the family's 154-position model. The record is from RNAcentral. Lineage: Eukaryota; Fungi.
GAAAUGCGAUACGUCAUGCGAAUUGCAGAACUUGUGAGUCAUCAAAAUUUUGAACGCAACUUGCACUUCCCCUCGGGGGAGUAUGUCUGUUGGAGUGUCUGUUCAUCCCCACUUCCGCACUCUACUCUGGUAGUCUGUGCAGAAGCGUCGGCCGCUUGUCUCUCUCCCUCGUGGGAAAGUCAAUUGAGCCUAGAUGAAAGACCAUCGAUCAAACGAACUCGCCCCCGCUUCACCUGUCUCUUUUGACAGGUUAGCUCGGUCGACGCGACGUGAAAGAAGUUCCUCCUCGUGGGGAUAUUUCCCAAACCACGCGUCUUCAUUCCAAACGAGCUGUGUGAGCCUCGGCAACCAAAGAGUUCAUCCGACCGGACCUCCAAUCAGACAAGAUUACCCGCUGAAU